UGGGGAAUAUUGGACAAUGGGGGAAACCCUGAUCCAGCAAUGCCGCGUGAGUGAAGAAGGCCUUAGGGUUGUAAAGCUCUUUCGCCCGCGAAGAUAAUGACGGUAGCGGGAGAAGAAGCCCCGGCUAACUCCGUGCCAGCAGCCGCGGUAAUACGGAGGGGGCUAGCGUUGUUCGGAAUUACUGGGCGUAAAGCGUACGUAGGCGGAUGCGCAAGUUGGGGGUGAAAUCCCGGGGCUUAACCUCGGAAUUGCCCUCAAAACUGCACGUCUUGAGACCGAGAGAGGUAAGGGGAAUUCCUAGUGUAGAGGUGAAAUUCGUAGAUAUUAGGAAGAACACCAGUGGCGAAGGCGCCUUACUGGCUCGGUACUGACGCUGAGGUACGAAAGCGUGGGG
RNAcentral lists this ribosomal RNA (394 nucleotides) under uncultured bacterium. RNAcentral's name for it is "bacterial SSU rRNA". It matches the Rfam family "Bacterial small subunit ribosomal RNA", at positions 355 to 766 of the family's 1533-position model. The record is from RNAcentral.